AGUGAACGCUGGCGGUAGGCCUAACACAUGCAAGUCGAACGGCAGCACAGUAAGAGCUUGCUCUUACGGGUGGCGAGUGGCGGACGGGUGAGGAAUACAUCGGAAUCUACUUUUUCGUGGGGGAUAACGUAGGGAAACUUACGCUAAUACCGCAUACGACCUACGGGUGAAAGCAGGGGAUCUUCGCACCUUGCGCGAUUGAAUGAGCCGAUGUCGGAUUAGCUAGUUGGCGAGGUAAAGGCCCACCAAGGCGACGAUCCGUAGCUGGUCUGAGAGGAUGAUCAGCCACACUGGAACUGAGACACGGUCCAGACUCCUACGGGAGGCAGCAGUGGGGAAUAUUGGACAAUGGGCGCAAGCCUGACCCAGCCAUACCGCGUGGGUGAAGAAGGCCUUCGGGUUGUAAAGCUCUUUUGUUGGGAAAGAAAAGCAGCAGGUUAAUACCCCGCUGUUCUGACGGUACCUAAAGAAUAAGCACCGGCUAACUUCGUG
Molecule: ribosomal RNA, 492 nt
Filed under: uncultured bacterium
Lineage: Bacteria
Description: partial 16S ribosomal RNA
Rfam family: Bacterial small subunit ribosomal RNA
Source: RNAcentral